Molecule: long non-coding RNA, 4684 nt
Filed under: Brachypodium distachyon (stiff brome)
Lineage: Eukaryota; Viridiplantae; Streptophyta; Magnoliopsida; Poales; Poaceae
Description: long non-coding RNA (BDIS_LNC004952)
Source: RNAcentral
UACGAUAACGGCGCCGGCGCCGGCCAAGCACGCUUGAGAUGAACCGUCGGACGACUAUAGCUAGUGCAGUCCUGAUCUGCUGCACGUGCGAUAAUUGUUAGUAGGAAUAAAAAGGUGCCUUUGAAAUAAAUCAAUUUCGUGCAUAUAUAUACGUUGUUUGUCUCGUGAGUGGCACAAAAUCGAUAUAAGCCUGCAAUCGAAAAUUUUGGGUCCCUUUUCGAAAAAAAGGCAGCAUAUUUUUUUUAGAAAUAAAUAUAAUCAAGAAAAAAAACAUAGAUGGGCCAGCAGCCGGUCAGGGUCAGCCCAUCCAUCUGGGCCGAUGCGGCCAGGUCUGCGAAGCAGGCCAGACCGCCAAAGCCCACAAUGCACCGUCCGCUCAGGGAGAGAGAUCGAUAUGCAUCGCACUCACGUCCUCUCAAAAAAAAAAACGCACUCACGUCCUCUCCGAAAUCGAUCGUACAGACAAGAUGGAUAUACGUGCAGCGAUCAUGGAGUGGUUGCAGAUUCACAUCUGCACUAAUUAAUUAUUGCCCCAUGUGGACUAUCCGAAUAAUUGAGAUUGCUUUGCAAGCAAGGGACGGGCCACGAAAUGAUCGUGAUUUGAUUUGGUUAAUUAUAUUAGGUUCUCUUUUUGGCAUUGGAUCAGCAGUGUCGACAUUUAUAUGCGUGCUAAUACCUCGAUUGAUCGAGAUGGUAUGAUCCAAUUAACCACAUGAGUUGAAGUUAAUUUCUUGGAUACACAUAAAACACGGCCAUAUAUGUGAAUCCUCUUGAUGCCAAACUGACCUGGAUCAGAAGCACCUAGCUUAACUACCAUCUGGCCUGUAUGUCUCUGCAGGAGGUAAAACCAUACCUCUUUUGGCCUCAAUGGCCUACGAUCGAAUCACAUCACUAAAGAGCAACAACACCACCUUUGAGUACAAGAGUUUAUUAAGAGUUUAAGAUUGCUAAUGAUAUGUGUAUAUAGGCGAAGCGUCUCCUUCGUAAAGAUCGACCAUCUAUUUUCUGUGUGCUCAUUCAACUGGCCCACAAUCUGUAUGUACCCGUGAUUUAAGGCUGCGUCUGGCAUCGUGAUGGAUUCUCAUAAUCCUGUUUUUCUCAUCCGUUUUUCACUAUUUUCGUGUUUGACUGACCAACUUUUUUCUACUUUCGCGUGUAUUUUUCCGCAACAGAUUAUAAAAUAAGUUCCGUGCAACACAGUUUAGCAAUGUCAAAUUGAGCCUAAAUCGUAUACACCUUUGCAGAAAAAAGUAAAGAGUAUAUGAAAUACGUGUAAAAGACAGAUUUUUUUUAAACGUUUUUGGGAAGCUAGAAAAAAUACUAAGCCUACAGCCGAAGAUUUAUUUUCAUUUUUGUUGUAGUCUUGAUAGAAGACUAUUUUGUUUGUCUGCCUUGUCCUGUGUCGAGAGAAAUUGCACAAGGCUAGCGGUGAAAAUUAUGCAUGUACAUAUGGGCUUUAAUCAGUUGUUUGGCAUCACGAUCAGUACUGAAUCAACUUUAUGAUCAAGUGCUAAUACUUUAUCAGAUUCGCUCCAUUUUCUCCCAACCUCCAAUAGAUGGAGAUUACUUCAGCUAUAGGCAAUUGCUAUCUUUGUCAAAACUUGUCCCGUAUCCAUUAACUAAUUGCUGGUUUCCCCUGACUUUUAGUUAGUUUCCUGACUUGUAGAUAAAAUUCCGGACCUUAAUUAUCAUCCGUGGAGAGUUUUAAAAUUCUGUUUGAAGUUUGAAGAUAUUUUAAAAUUCUUUUUUAUUGUUUUCCUGAAAUUUAAAGAUGUCUAGGAAUCACUAGUUGCAAAUUACUCUUCUUUGCCUACAUGUAGUUUUUCAUUGUAUGGAGUAUAGUUUUUCACCAUCACCGAUCGAUUUUUAUUUGGCUCUUUGGCUAAAAUUUCCCAGAAACAUGGGUAGUUUCAAAGGAGCUCGUAGAAUUAGCUAGCUAUGGUCUAUGGAGUAUUAAUUUUCUGCUUCAUUUGCUAGUUCGUGGACGCGGUGACCAGGGAAAUGGCGCAAGCAGAUGCCACGUCACCAUCAUCCCAUACGUACGUGUACGUAGAGUGUAUGUAUGCCGACAGAAUUCAAAGCCUUUGAUUGCUCAUCCGAAAGCUACCCAAGCUGCAAUUUCGCCAGAUGGGCGGUGGGGCGCCGCACCGUCCAUCCAAGACGUGGGGCCCAGUUCUAUAUCCAAUAAGACUGAAACACGUGGCUGUUUGAUUUGUCAGUGUUACCACGCUAAUUAAUAACAGUCUUUUACCAAAGUCAAAUCGUGCCAUUAAUCACCCAAGUAGCCAGCCAAGAAGCCUAUCUUGGCUAUAAAACCCGGCCAGAAGGAAGGCUACACAAACCAAGCACACAGCAUCCUACUGUCAGUUGUCACACACACACACACACACACACAGGUGUACAAGCCAGCUCAGUAGCUAGCUCCUCGAGCUUUUGAUCAACCGGCGGCCAUGGCGGAGGAAAAGAAGCACCACCUGUUCCACCACAAGAAGGAAGACACCGACGUGGUCGUCAACCCCACCACGGGCGCCGUCGACGAGUACGGGUACUCGGCGGAGACGGUGGUAACCCCAACCGGCGCCGACGGCGAGUACGAGCGCAUCACCAAGGAGGAGAAGCACCACAAGCACAAGGAGCACCUCGGCGAGAUGGGCGCCGUCGCCGCCGGCGCCUUCGCCCUCGUACGAUACACAUGAACACGUCAUCAUCUUAUAUAUACUAAGUGUUGUUGGACGACGACAACAACGGUGCUAAAUUGAUUGUUUGAUUUUAUUGUAGUACGAGAAGCACGAGGCAAAGAAGGACCCGGAAAACGCGCACAGGCACAAGAUCGCGGAGGAGGUCGGCGCGGCGGCGGCGGUGGGCGCCGGAGGGUUCGUGUUCCACGAGCACCAUGAGAAGAAGAAGGACCACAAGGAGGCCCAGGAGGUCAGCGGCGAGAAGAAGGGCCACCACCUCUUCGGCUAAGCGACGUCGCUAGACCCGCCGAUCGAUACUCCACGUAAGCUCGCUGGCGCCGAAGUUUGUUUGUGUGUGUGUGCGCGUGUGUGUUUUUCUGAGGCGCGGGCCAGGCCGUGGGUAUACGAGGUCUCUGUACAUGUGUUUAAUCUGCAGCUUCGGUGUGUUGUGCUACGUACUGCUGCUGAAUAAGCUCCCAGACAGCGAGUAUAUGAUGUAAUAAUCUCUAUGUAUGUGUGCUCAACUUUAUUAAUCAUCCAAGCUACCCUGCCUAUCUGCAUCUAACUUUUAGAUUUUAGCCUUCAGUUCCCAUGGAACGUACUCCACUUUAAUUUGCUUUUUUUUUUACAGCCCACUUUAAUUUGCUUAAUUCGCUCGAGGAAAAGCCACAUGAUUUGUUGGGGGAAACGCUAAUCCAAACGCAAGCUUAACACUAAAAGUCAGAGAUGGCUUUGUUAGCAGGCCCAAACCCGUCGCAUGCCUAAUCCAAACCCAAGGCGUUGCUGUGUAAUCUUGCUGGGUUGGGCCGGACAAGAUUUCAGCGAACACGCCGGCCUCAACUUCAUUCUGGGCCGGUCGGUAGAAGGAGGACGCGCCUGUGCCCACCGCAACAGCUGAUUGGGCUGCGGCGUCUCAACAUGUGCCGUUGGCCCAACAAGUGCCGCGACCCAACAAGUGUACUACUCGUUUAGGGGAUCGUCUCUGACUCAAAUACGUUUCCUGAUCUUUUAGAACGAGCGACUCAAGAGACUUUUUGAAACCUUUGAACAUAGUCAAGUUCGUCCAGAGAUACCAGUAACGAUGUUACUGCUACAGUCUGAUUGAAAUCUCUAUGUUGAAACCUCAACAGAAUUUCAUGUUGCAAAGUUUGAAAAUCAAGGAGAAGAUGCCUUUAAAAGAUUUUCAAUGUAAUUCUUAAUUAUAUGAGUUAUCUUAUAAUUUCUAGAGUCUAUGAUUCAAAGCAUUGUACCCGUAAUAAUUCUCGUGUUUGAAUAAAGUCACAGGUUAUUCGGAAAAAAAAAGUCGAUUUCGAAAUAAUUUGUUUAUCACGGCUUACCAACACUACCCGUCACUAGCUGGUAGGUGAUGAUAUCCCCAUCAGUGGCGGGCAACUAGCAGGACCGACAGUGAUACUAUUUUCCUGAUUAAAGAAAAAGCAGGCCAGUGGCCUGCACAUUUUCCAGCGUACCCCAACAAAUCCCAAAUCACACAAAUCGGAGAACAAAUCACACAUCACAGAUCAAGCAUCAAGGAUUACAACAUGAAAAAACACAAAAAUAAUCAAGAAAAAAUGGCCGGCGCUCCUCGAUCUCGAUCUGCUUCUACACAGAGACGGGAAAAUGGCCGGUUGGCGCCGGGGCUGCAGGAUCCGGCGACGGCGGAACGAGGCAGGGAGGCUGGCCACCAACAAUCUGCGAGAGAGAGAGGGUGAGAGAGAGAGAGAGGGUGAGAGACAUACCGGCGGCGGCUGAAGAAGGCCGGAUUCAACGGGGGCGAGGGGCCGGCUCCUCCACGCGGGGCCGACGGAUCCGGCCCCCGCUUCUGCUCCAUGCGCCCCCACUGCUGCUGCUCCAUGCGCCAUGGGUUGGUGUAGAGGAAUGGGGAGGGGAUGGGCUUUGCAGCGCUUGGGAUUGAGAAGAGAAGAGAAGGGAGAGAGGGAGGAGACUGGGGCGUCGGGCAGGGAGGGAGGAGAUUGGGGCACGCACAUGAGAUAAGUUCGGGAGGG